Molecule: long non-coding RNA, 765 nt
Organism: Rattus norvegicus (Norway rat)
Lineage: Eukaryota; Metazoa; Chordata; Mammalia; Rodentia; Muridae
Source: RefSeq, a predicted model, not a curated record
UCAAGCCUCAGGGAGGGCUGAGCCUUUUGCGGCAUUUUGGGAAUAGCCAAUCAGGAGGGAAGGAAUGUGAUGGAUGAGCUGCUGUGUUCUAACCUCUGUGAGGUGAAAACACAGGAAUCCCCAAAGGUUUCGGGGUGGAAGCCCUGGGCCACCUGGAGUUUGUGUGGACCUGGUGCCAGUUUCCUGUGCACACUACCCACGUGUGAAUACAGUGUUAUGUGCAUUGCCAGCUGUGAAGACCUUGUAUAAGUCAAGUCUCAACCAGGGCCCUGGCUGUGUUUCUUCUGCUCUGGUGUGGGCCAGGGAGAGGCUCCGACAUCUGCUACAGCCUUCAGAGGCCACGCACAACAGCUGCCCCUCCUUCCCUCCCUAAAGCUCUCCCAAGAUUAAGACCGGAGGCCUGGUGCUUCAUUACAAAGGGCCCCACAACAUGGCUCCUAGGAAGAUGUUCCUAUUGCCAUAGAGACCUGUGCACCCCUGGGCUCCUGCAGAAACGUUCCAUCUCUCUGUUAGAGUUCGAUCUAGAAGUCUGGCUUGUCACACAGAGAGCCUAUUUUAAGUUUAACCAAGUUAAUGUUGCCCCGAUGGCUUUCUUUUCUUUUAGUGAACACUCACGUUAAUUUGUUUGCCACUUAAACCUUGGCUUCGGAGUUUCAUUUUUUUGUUUGAAGCAAGGUGCUCCUCUCAUCCACUGCCGAGGGGAUGCCUCCUUUUUGUACCAAGUACAAUUUAGCUAAUAAACCUUUUGAAGAAGAAUCAUUGAAA